GUGGAUCUUGUGAGCUGGGUUGCCUUGCUGUGGUGCUUUCGGACUCGCUAACUAUGUUAUCACACAGUUUUGCAACCAAAUCGCCACUAGAAGUCACUGUGUUCUGUUGACAUGCAGAGUCUGCACAAAGUUUAUCGUCUCCAGUUGUAGAACAAAUGGCUGGAAUCACCACAGAAUUCUGAUCUACUGGAGCAUCAGCACUCUCCUCACGACUUCGUGAAGUUUCCGUUUCUGCUGUUUUUUCAGUGGAGGUUUCUUCAUUACUAAAUGCAAGUGAAGACUCAGCAGGUUUGUUACCAUCCAGGGAACUGGCAGCAGGGGCACAGUUUGGAACACUGAUUUUAUCCACAGGCUUACUUGUGACGUGCACGUCAGAGGCUCCAGCUGUGCCAAUAUUAGAGUUCUCAAAUCUUUCCUUUGUACUUUCCCCUCCCUGAAGCACAUUCUUCCAAACAGUGGCAUCUGGGUUCAUGAGCCCAUGUUCCAUUUCCCCUGCAGUGUCUGGGGUACUGACAUUUGUUGUUGAAAUGCCUCCCAGUUCACCUCCAGAGGAAUACUGGGCUGUGCCUGGCUCCAUGACCAAGUCUCUCUGAAGCACAGCAUCUCCACUGCUCAGGGACUCCUGGUCUGUGGGCAUUCCAGAAGAUUUUGUUCCAGUUUCUUCAUUUCUGUUUCCACAGGACGAAAGGCCUUCCGUGCCCUUUACUCCACAAUCAGGCAAGCUCUGAAGGCAGCUGUCUUGAUCAGAUACAGUUCCAGAGUCCACAAUAGGUGCUGGCUCCACCUCUUCCCCUUUUCUUUCCACGCCUUUAUUUUUCUUCCUACAGGAACGGUCUGUAUUCUCCUCCUCAACUAUGCUUGACAAAUCACAGGGACUUUCAGUCUGUGCAACAGGGCUCCCUGGGCAGCACUGAGUGCUCUCAGUCUCUUCAGAAGAAGAAAGUCGCUGAGGGUCCGUGGGCUCCGGUGCACAGGGAAGAAACUGGCCAUCUGUCUCUGGGGCACUGGAAGGAUCCUGUGCUGUCAUCAUUAAGGGCAUAAGACUGUCCAUCUGCUUGAGGUUUGUUUUCUAGGAGGAAAUGAAAUACACUUUUAAAAAACUGCCUGUAGGAGAAGAUGUCACUGACACCUCUGAGCAAAAAUUCUGUUGGACAGAACUCACUUCUAUUCUAGCUCUUCUAAGGUCACAUGAUAAGCGAAUCUAAAAGAAUACAAAUAAAUUUCCUCUUAUUUCUGAUAUUACUUUCCUUUCAUAUCUGCCUAUAUACUGGGAUGUUCAAAAUAGAUUAGGAUAUAUGAAAUAUCUAUUUUCUAAAUUUUGAACUUAUUUUAGGAAGUAGAUGAAAACUGAGUCUCGCCGGGCAUGGUGGCUCAUGCCUGUAAUCCCAGCACUUUGGGAGGCUGAGGCAGGCAGAUCACCUGAGGUCAGGAGUUCGAGACCAGCCUCAACAUGGAGAAACCCUGUCUCUACUAAAAAUACAAAAUUAGCUGGGCGUAGUGGUGCAUGCCUGUAAUCUCAGCUACUUGGGAGGCUGAGGCAGGAGAAUUGCUUGUACCCGGGAGGCGGAGGUUGCAGUGAGCCGAGACAGCACCACUGCACUCCAGCCUGGGCAAUAAGAGCAAAACUCCGUCUUAAAAAAAAUAAAAAUAAAAGAGUCUCAAAAACCUGAUUUUUAAAAAGCUCAGUGAAUAUCUUCAAUUGAGCUGCUAACAUUAAGGUGGGCUCUCUCAUUCUGAGGCCAGGCUGAAGUGCAGUGGUGUGAUCACAGCUCACCGCAGCCUUGAACUCCUGGGCUCAAGUGACCCUGCCGCCUCAGCCUCUUCAGUAGCUAGGACUACAGGUGUGCACCAUUGCACCUGACUAAUUGUUUUAUUUUUUGUAGAGACGGGGUCUCACUAUGUUGCCCAGGCUGUUCUCCAACACCUGAGCCUAUGGGAUCCUCCUACCUUGGUCUCCCAAAGUGCUGGGAUUAUAGGGCCUACACCACUGUGUCCCACCUAUAUUUUUCAUUGUCUUCAGAAGGGCAGAGUCUACUUACACCCUGCCUCAUAUAUACAAGUAAAAACAAAUCCUAGCUCUUUUCCAUUACAAGGUGCAGCCAAUGUGCCUGUGCCCUAAAUACUUACUGAGUUCAGUGUCCUUUAAUCCCCAAAAUAUGUUCCAACCAAUCUAACUUAACCAUCGAGUUAUGGGGUCAUAAUUUCAGGAACAGUGGCAUGGCAGAUAUUCUUUCACCUUUUGAUAAAAUCAGAACAUAUUAAAUAUAAAAUAAAUGAGAACAUAUACCUAUAUACUGUCAGAGUAUAUUAUGGAUACUAUAUGUAAUCUCAAAAAUGGAUUUUGCAACUUUAAAGUAUUUAAAAAAUAUAAACAGAUAUAACCAACAGCAUGGGAAUGAUUAAGAAAAUCAAGGUUCAUAAAACUGAUGGAAGAAAUACUAGCCAUUAUUAACUAUGAGGACCAUAUUGCAAUUAGAAAAAAAUUAUUAAUCUAAGUUUAUAAAUAUGCAAAAAUCCCAUGUGCAUGCAGCAAGGUUUAAAAUGGAGAAAAACAAAUACAGGUGAUCUUUAGUGAUUUUACCUUUAUAUCAAAAUUUCAAAAAUUCUUAUAAAAAUAUUUUCUCAACACCUAAAAUCUAUUUUUCCAAACAUCUGGUUUGCUCGCCAUUCAUUCAUUACCUGAUCUACUGCAAUAAUAUGCAUACCUACUGCCAUCCAUCCUCUCAUUCACCUACUCACUCAGUGAAUAUAUUGGGCACUUACAGGGUUCCAUCAUCAGACCAUUCCUAUCUACCUACUGAGCCUAUUGUAAAAGUUUAUAUGUACAAGUGUAAAAUGUGUCAUGCUUGUUAAAGUCUUUCUAGUAGAGUGUACAAGCAAAAUGGACUUUCACUAAAAGCUUCUGUGUUAGGCUCCUUAAGAGUAUUCAAAAUUAGCUUAUUUCCAGUCCUGCUGAGAGUACGACAGUCUCCUAAAAAUCAGGAAAUGAAGUCAUUAAAUUUAAUAAAUGGUAAACAUUAUAAAACAGAAAUCUGGCGAAACAAGUAGUGUUGCCUAAAGAAAGUAGCACAUGUAUGUUCCCACAGUUUUAAUUUCUCGUAUUUGCCUGCCAACCAUUUCCAUAUCUUGGCAGGUAGCUUUGGUACCUGCAAAACUAUAUUUUCAAGUGAACUACCAUUCACCUAGUAAAAAGAGCUCUAAGGAAAAACCUGAUUGCCUAGAAGUCCAUUCAGAGGAAAAUGAAAUGUCACGUGCUCUGGAACAAACACAAUUCUAAAACACAAAAGUGGGAGCAUCACAUAACCCUAUGGAAUUUCUUGGCUUGCUGGUCUCAAAUAAUGCAUGCUCCCAAAGAAGCCUCUGGCAUUGAGCUGACCUUAAAUGAAAUUACUGUCCAGUGGUUUCCAAAUCAAAUCAGCUCUGAAAUAAACUGGGUGGAAAAAUUACCUAAACACAGCCUUUCAGAUGUUAUGCCCAAGAGAGAUGUACACAUAUGACGUUUAUGUUAUUCGUAAUAAAUGCUAACAGGGAGUCUGUAAUGUUUUUAUGUCUGGCAACAACUUUAUCUUGAAGACUUGAGUGGAUUAUAAAAUCUUUUCUGUUUUUUUUAGCUAUCUUUGUACCAUACAACUAUUGAUUUAAAUAUAGUAACACUAUAUUUAAAUGGUACAUAUCAUCGCCACUAAAAUAGUUGUAAAAAUACUCCUGAUUAAAUUUGGUUCUUGUUCUUUGGCAACAAUCUCAGAAACUGUUGGUUCUUUCAUUUUGUAAAGUUAAGCCAAACACAGACAAAUAUCCUUUUAUGCCAGAAAUUUAGUUCUAGUUGUUGCAUAUUUCUGUACCUGAAAUGUGUGUCUUCCAUUAUUCCCAAAACCAAUGAAAAAAACCUCUCAGUCCCCCU
RNAcentral lists this long non-coding RNA (3901 nucleotides) under Homo sapiens (human). RNAcentral describes it as "HSALNT0223921". Lineage: Eukaryota; Metazoa; Chordata; Mammalia; Primates; Hominidae. The record is from RNAcentral.